Molecule: non-coding RNA, 72 nt
Organism: Parelaphostrongylus tenuis
Lineage: Eukaryota; Metazoa; Nematoda; Chromadorea; Rhabditida; Metastrongylidae
Source: the annotation of a GenBank genome assembly
GCGUCGGUAGUACAACGGUUAGCAUACGCUCCCGGAAAGAGUGAGAUCUGGGUUCGAAUCCCUGCUGAUGCA